Molecule: long non-coding RNA, 1468 nt
Organism: Engraulis encrasicolus (European anchovy)
Lineage: Eukaryota; Metazoa; Chordata; Actinopteri; Clupeiformes; Engraulidae
Exons: 2
Source: RefSeq, a predicted model, not a curated record
GUUGGAGAUCUUUGAAAAACGGUUCCUGUGAGCUAUAUUUUUGAAAAUACACAGCCCGCCUCUCCCUUCAGCCCUCCCCUCAAAGCCACGCCUUCAAAACACAUGAACGCGCAUGCAGUCUGUCAAGUGUUCGGAUUAUCCCGGGAACCCACGAGAGCUCACGAGGCGGGGGGGCGGGCUAGAAGCCACGACAAAGCGACUAGCCAAGCUAACUUCCAGCCAUGGCACCGUCUCCGGCUACGGUAAGAAUGUUCAACAUCACAAUAAACGCACAGGCCGUCAUGGUUGCCAUUUCAAGAAAUAUUGAUGACAGUAGAUGUAUACUAGAUUAGUUAUUGAACUUGACUUGAUACGUGUUACUUAGAUAUCUCAUUCUAACUUCCUAACACUGAUGACAGAUGCUAUACUGUCAUCCCUAGACAGUAGUUCUAGCCAGUAGCUACAGUACUGACACAUGGAUUUAUUUUGACAGAUGUGUACCGCAGUAUACAUUUUACUAGUGUAUUUAUAUAUACCCGACACCACAAUCCGUAGUGUUUUAGGCUAUGACUUCAGAUUUCACUUGGGUUGUCGCACGCGCAGACACAGGGACAGAGGGAGUAAAGAAAAACAACCGAACUGAUCAACGCUAAUGAAAUUGUUUUGGCUGACGAUAUUUUCAUAUGCUUUUAGACCUUCCACGACCACGAGAGCUCCAACUCUGACUUUCCUGGCCCAUCACAAUCAUAACGACCUAACAGCCCAGUAGGACCGAUGGCCAGAGAUGGAGGAGGAGGAAGAUAGACGCAGCAGAGGUCGGGGGUAUUGAUUAGGGAGACUCCAACAGAAUUGACGCCCUGCUAACUGCCUUGAUUCAAUCAUUGAAUUUGAAGCAAUCCCAUCGGUUACUGCAGCGUGCCCUGACCCGUGACCCCAGUUUGAUGUUCGACCUGGCACAUGACAUCUGGUCCUCAGUCACAGCCCAGUAGCACAACCAACCUGGCGCCUCUGCGCAAUCUGUAAGGAGAUGCCCAUGAACAUUGAAAGGAAAAGCUGUGGUGUUCUCAGUUUUGAUAAGACUUUGGGCUGAUGUAGGACCAGGUGAGAGAAACGGUCUCUUCAGGCAUGCAGCCUACAGACAGUAUGGGGCACUUGAACAGGGCUGACGUUGUAAUACACAGUACAAUACCCAGGAUUAGCCAGGGUUACCCUGCUCCACUAGAGCAAUAUAAAAGGUUUAUACAGAGUACGGUAUAAAACACACAAACCAGUAGUGUGCAGACUUUUAUUAUUUUUCAUUAUCUGUAGGAGCAUUCAUCACCUUUUUGGUUUGGAACCACGUUUGUCUUGUUACCAUUGUUUUUUUCAUACAUAGAAAAUAAAUGCAACCUGUCAAAUGUUCUUCUGAUUGUGGUCUUGUGGAAUAUAUAAAUUAUGUAACCAUGCAUUUUCAGUCAGAGAAUGAAUUAAAAAAAGCCACACAGUCAAA